This 460-nucleotide ribosomal RNA is filed under the name uncultured bacterium. RNAcentral's name for it is "partial 16S ribosomal RNA". It matches the Rfam family "Bacterial small subunit ribosomal RNA", at positions 338 to 795 of the family's 1533-position model. The record is from RNAcentral.
CCUACGGGUGGCAGCAGUGAGGAAUAUUGGUCAAUGGCCGUAAGGCUGAACCAGCCAAGUAGCGUGAGGGAAGACUGCCCUAUGGGUUGUAAACCUCUUUUAUGCGGGGAUAAAGGUGUCCACGUGUGGAUGUUUGCAGGUACCGCAUGAAUAAGGACCGGCUAAUUCCGUGCCAGCAGCCGCGGUAAUACGGAAGGUCCGGGCGUUAUCCGGAUUUAUUGGGUUUAAAGGGAGCGUAGGCCGGUCUUUAAGCGUGCCGUGAAAUUUUGUGGCUCAACCAUGGUAGUGCGGCGCGAACUGGAGACCUAGAGUGCGCGGACGGCAGGCGGAAUUCGUGGUGUAGCGGUGAAAUGCUGAGAGAUCACAAAGAACCCCGAUUGCGAAGGCAGCCUGCCGCAGCGUUACUGACGCUGAAGCUCGAAAGCGCGGGGAUCGAACAGGAUUAGAGACCCCUGUAGUC